UGAGAAACAUUGAAGAGAAAAAUAGUUGGA
RNAcentral lists this non-coding RNA (30 nucleotides) under Mus musculus (house mouse). The record is from RNAcentral. Lineage: Eukaryota; Metazoa; Chordata; Mammalia; Rodentia; Muridae.